GGGCACGCAGCGUUGCUUCUUUUUACAUACUCUUACCAAAACCCCGCUGUAGCUCUUUUUAUUUGUUUCUCCACUGCUUCCAGCCACGUGCUCACCCCUUUACAUCCCUUUAUCUUAUUUUGCCACUUAGUCUUUAAGCUCUACUCAGUGCCUCCAGAAGAACUGAAUAAAUCAAUAUAUCUAUAACAUAUAUCCAAUAUAUAACCGAAAAUUUCUAUAUUCUGCCACUUAUCCCUGCCAUUCCAGGGGCAGGGAGCUGCUGCUGUGCCAGGGAUGCAGAGGAGCAGCUCCACUGCUCCCAGCCACGUUUGGCAUCCUUUUAUCUUAUUUUGCCACUUUGUCUUAAAGCUCUACUCAGUGCCUCCAGAAGAACUGAAUAUAUCACUAUAUCUAUAGCAUAAAUCUAAUAUAUAACUGAAAAUUUCCACCCUCUGCCCCUUAAGGCUGCCCUGCCAGGGGCAGGGAGCUGCCGCAGGGCAUGCAGAGGGGCAGCCCCGCCGGUCCCACACCACGUCUGGCACCUCUUUCCUGCCAGCACCGGCAGCACAUGCGACCUUCCCCUUUUGGGCAAGGGAGGCGCGAUUGGUGCGCGGGGCCUCGGCCGCCUUAAAGGCUCGGGGCGGACGGGGAAGCGCCACGGGAGGCGCCGGAGCCCCGCGGAGCCCCGGCCAUGCAGCGCGCCCGCCUGCUCGCCCUGCUCGCCCUGCUCGCCCUGUGCCUGUCCCUCUGCCUGGCGAAGGAGGAGACGAUGAAGGUGGAGAUGCCUCUCCCGAAGGUUUUUAUCCCGCUCAACGCCACGGUCAGCAGCGGCGUGAGCUCGCCCGCCGCCAGCCCCCCGCUCCUGGCCGCGGCGCUGGGGGUGCUGGCAGCGCUGCUCCCGCACCUGCGCUGAGCCCGAAGUCCCUGCAGCCCCCCGAGACCCUCCCCAGGACGGCAUCGCCCCGUUCCUGCUGCGUCCCCCAGCCUCGGAGCUACCCCCGCGGAGCGGAGCAAUAAACGCGCUGGUGCCGACCCGCA
Serinus canaria (Common canary) is the source of this 1017-nucleotide long non-coding RNA. RefSeq lists it as uncharacterized. The record is from RefSeq and is a predicted model, not a curated record. NCBI's taxonomy places the organism in Eukaryota, Metazoa, Chordata, Aves, Passeriformes, Fringillidae. The transcript has 2 exons.